AAACCCGUAACCACCCCCACGCUCAAUUCCUCACCUCUCUGACCGAUUCAUCAGCCACCAAUCCAUCCCUUUGCAACCCAACCUCACGGACACAUCUAUCAUCCCUCUGCAACCAUCUACCUUAGGCCAAUCCCCCCACCUUCUUCUUCCAUUUUUAUGACCAAACAUUUUCCAUCAUCCCCAAAUCUUCAUCUUCACACAAUCAUCAAAUCUCCAUUACUCCCACCGUGUCUUUCAUUCCCAAGACUCACCUCCAAGAGUAUCCAGAUUUCACACACAACGACAGAGUAACAAACAUAUCCUNAAACUAAAAAAACAGAGAGACAAAAAUUAAUCCCCAUCUUCAUCACGCACGACACCACAACAGAAAUCCAAAACNUCCAAAUUCAAUCAAAGAGAGGAGAGAGAUCGAGGACGCCACGGCCAGUCGUGUUUCCGGUGGCUUCUGGUGUUGCCGGCGAGGCUUUGGGCCGGACGGGAUCUGUGGUCCGUUAGGCGAGGACUGGUUGAGGCUACGGUGGCCCUGCGAGAAGGUUGCAUCUCCAUGGGGUGGUUUUCGUUUUCCUUGGGAGGAGCUCUAGGUUUGCCAAAAGUUGAAAUGUGCAAAUGAAAUGCAGCUUGGGAGAACCCCUUUAGGGUUUCACAGGGAGGUUGGGAUGGUUUUCUGCGAGCUUGGGAUACUUGGGCCNGCGCUGGCCAUUAAAAAAAAGUAACAAAAAUAAAGGCUUUCUGUACCCCUUUGGUUCCAAUCAACACACCUUUAAAUCGGGUCCAGAUCUGGCCUAACUCAAAAACAAAUUAAUUAAAAAAAAAACGUUUCUGCACCCCUCAUUCUGCUGUAUCACCCCAUCCCAAUUCUGCAAACACAAAAAACCGAAAAAGAGUUNUUGGGCCUGGUCAGCAAAAUAUCCAGUGCCACCCCCUAAUCUUCAAAGUUGCACUCCUUCAUUCAUUUGGACCUCUGCCUGACCAGCAACUACUACAUGCACCCCUUAUUUUCAUCUGGUGCACCCAUCUGUGGAUUGGACUAAGAUUUCAAAUGGCACCCCGGUUUUUAAUUUCUACACCCUAUUCUUUCUUGCUUAUUCCUUUGUGUUUUUUACUACAUGUAACAGUCCCACCCCAUUUCUUGUACUUUUAUCUAAAUUAAAAAUAAAAAUACAAAAUAAUUAUAUUCUGAUUGUCAUGUCAAGUCUCGGAUUUGCUUGAUAAUCAUCAUUUUUAUAAUUAUUUGAUCGUCAUGUCAAGUCUCAGACUUGCUUGAUAAUUAUUUUCAUAAUAAUAAUUCCAAUUAUCAUGUCAAGUCUCAGAUUUGCUUGAUAAUUUUGUUUUUCAUAAUAAUAAUUUUAAUUAUUAUGUCAAGUCUUGGAUUUGCUUGAUAAUUAAAUAAAUAAUAAUAAUAAUAAAU
Molecule: long non-coding RNA, 1408 nt
Filed under: Vigna radiata
Lineage: Eukaryota; Viridiplantae; Streptophyta; Magnoliopsida; Fabales; Fabaceae
Description: long non-coding RNA (VRAD_LNC017760)
Source: RNAcentral